This 945-nucleotide ribosomal RNA is filed under the name uncultured archaeon. Its description in RNAcentral is "bacterial SSU rRNA". It matches the Rfam family "Archaeal small subunit ribosomal RNA", at positions 1 to 922 of the family's 1478-position model. The record is from RNAcentral.
UUCCGGUUGAUCCUGCCGGACCCUACUGCUAUCGGGGUGGGACUAAGACAUGCGAGUUGAGCGUCUCUAAGCCAUGGUAGAGACGCGGCGUACGGCUCAGUAACACGUGGCUAACCUACCCUUAGGACGGGGACAACCCCGGGAAACUGGGGCUAAUACCCGAUAGGCGAGGAGGCCUGGAAUGGUUCUUAGUCGAAAAGGCGUUGAAACCAUGCUUUUCGACGUUGCCUAAGGAUGGGGCCGCGCCCGAUCAGGUUGUUGGUGGGGUAACGGCUCACCAAGCCUAUAACCGGUACGGGCCGUGAGAGCGGGAGCCCGGAGAUGGGCACUGAGACAAGGGCCCAGGCCCUACGGGGCGCAGCAGUCGCGAAAACUCCGCAAUGCGCGAAAGCGUGACGGGGCUACCCCGAGUGCCGUCCGCUGAGGAUGGCUUUUCCCCGGUGUAAUGAGCCGGGGGAAUAAGGAGAGGGCAAGUCUGGUGUCAGCCGCCGCGGUAAUACCAGCUCUCCGAGUGGUAGGGAUGAUUAUUGGGCUUAAAGCGUCCGUAGCCGGCUUAGCAAGUCUCCUGUUAAAUUCAGCGACCUAAUCGUUGAGCCGCGGGAGAUACUACUAGGCUAGGAGGCGGGAGAGGCCGACGGUAUUCUCGGGGUAGGGGUGAAAUCCUAUAAUCCCGGGAGGACCACCAGUGGCGAAGGCUGUCGGCUAGAACGCGCUCGACGGUGAGGGACGAAAGCUGGGGGAGCGAACCGGAUUAGAUACCCGGGUAGUCCCAGCUGUAAACGAUGCGGGCUAGGUGUUGGGGUGGCUACGAGCCACUUCAGUGCCGCAGGGAAGCCAUUAAGCCCGCCGCCUGGGGAGUACGGCCGCAAGGCUGAAACUUAAAGGAAUUGGCGGGGGAGCACCACAAGGCGUGAAGCUUGCGGUUCAAUUGGAUUCAACGCCGGG